Molecule: non-coding RNA, 3568 nt
Organism: Salvelinus sp. IW2-2015
Lineage: Eukaryota; Metazoa; Chordata; Actinopteri; Salmoniformes; Salmonidae
Source: RefSeq, a predicted model, not a curated record
GUGUUUAUUUGAAGUGCCAUGAUUAGGUAUGUGCGAAUAAGUGAAUACUGUCAUGUGGGCCUAUUUACAUGUUCGCUCAUUGAGGGUAAAGUGGGUGUGUGCAGCAGAACCAUUCAAAUGACUUUUAUUACGAAAUAUGUCAAAUUUAAAGAGAUUUUGUUUUCAUUUUCUUUUUGUCAAUCGAAGUUUGUCAGCGACCGCAUCUACAACCAUUUCAGCACCGCGGUCAGCUCUCACUACUAGAACAAAAGACAGAUUUGCUUGCAUCCCUUGAUGUCAGGCACCGUCAAAAAGUGCAUGGCUAAAAUGAAGGACGAAAACAUGUCAAAACCAAAAAUCCCUCUCACAAUCUAUAAUUUACGUCCAAUGUUAAGUAUUAUACGAUUAAGUAAUCGAUAUUGUAUCAUUAUGUUGUCUUAUUCUGCACAGUCAAGAAAAAUUGAGAAUGGAGGAAAUGUCGUCUUAAGACCAGUCCUGGUAGAAUUCUUAGACGCUUCCUAACGGCAGACAUCACGGCUUGUUACAACCUAAGGGAGCAAGCAUAUAGAUCGACAGGGAGGGAGACACCGGUUUACGACGUCAAAGGCAACGGAAUACACAGACGGAGAGCCAGCCAACGCGGGAGCGAGCGGCAGCAAUAGUCUACCAUUUCCUGUGUUGGAUCAUAGGGAGCCGUUUAUUAUAACCACAAACCGCUUGAAAAAUCCAGAAGCGGUUGUCAUUUUUUUCGAAAAUCCAAAUUUGUGUGUAUUUAGAGUGGGAAACCGGAUUUGUAUACAAAUAACACAAACAAAACUACGAGAUAAAGCAUCACACGCUCAUGUUUAUGGAUAAAGGACGUCGCCGCUUGGAUUUGUUAGGUGCGCUCUUUUGGGGGUAACUUGUCAAGGCACGGAUUCAGAGGGGUCCUGCAUUAGACAAAUUAAUUGAACAGGAGAAUAGACAGAAACCGAAAAUAAACCCUAUUUGACAAGGGACAGAGGAGAACGGGUGAUUCUGCUCUCAACUAACCGCGAGACGAAGGAGAGAGGAUCACGGAGGAAUAGACCGAGUUGAAACCUUUGCCCGUCAUCUCCACAUCGUCCGAAGAUCUAUAGGUCCUCCCCGCUCCUUCUGACCGUAAUUCCAGUGUCCAUCCUCGGUGCGCACAUCCCCGCAUCCACACCGUCUCAAUGAAGGAGGCCGACGCAAUCAAGCUCUUCAUUGGGCAGAUACCCCGGAAUCUUGAGGAGAAGGACUUGAAACCGAUCUUCGAACAGUUCGGGAAAAUCUAUGAGUUGACAGUGAUAAAGGACAAAUACACGGGGAUGCACAAAGGCUGUGCCUUCCUGACAUACUGCGAACGAGAGUCUGCCCUCAAGGCCCAGAAUGCACUGCACGAGCAGAAGACGCUACCAGGGAUGAACCGGCCCAUUCAAGUGAAGCCAGCAGACAGCGAGGGCAGAGGGGAAGACAGGAAGCUGUUUGUGGGCAUGCUGGGGAAGCAGCAGUCUGAUGCGGACGUGAGGAAGAUGUUUGAGGCGUUUGGGAACAUUGAAGAGUGCACUGUGCUCCGCGGCCCUGACGGCACUAGCAAAGGCUGUGCCUUUGUGAAGUACCAGAACAACGCAGAGGCUGCGGCAGCCAUCAGCACUCUGCAUGGGAGCCGCACUCUACCGGGUGCCUCUUCCAGCCUGGUGGUGAAGUUCGCCGACUCUGAGAAGGAGCGAGGGAUAAGGCGCAUGCAGCAGGUGGCGUCCCAGCUGGGGGUCAUCAGUCCCAUGACCUUGCACCUCGGGGCUUACAAUGCCUACACACAGGCACUGGUGCAGCAGCAGGCUCUGGUGGCCCAGUCGGCGUACUUGUCACCUGUGUCCACCAUCACCAUGCAGCAGUUGGCUGCCCUCAACCCGAGCAGCCUCAUUGCCACGCCCAUCACAUCACUCACUACAUCCUCAGGUACCAGCACUCCGCCCACCAUGGCAGCCACACCGGUGCCUGCUCUGCCUCCACCACUCAGCUACCCUCCAGUCCCAGCUCCACCCAAUGGACAGUCAGCGUCUGAAACCCUGUACACCAAUGGAGUUCAUUCUUACCAAGCUCAAACUCCAGUUUUGGAUCCUCUUCAGCAAGCGUACGCAGGGAUGCAGCACUACACAGGUGGGACAGUAGUGAGUCCAUUUGAGUCCUUAAAAUUUCCUGGAGGGAAUUUUAGGUUUGAAAUGCCCUCGCAACAGUCCUUAAUGUUUACUUAUGCGAACACACCCACAGCAACUUACCCUUCUGCCUAUGGAAUGGUGGGGCAGCCAUUCCCACACCAACACACAAUGGUUGCGCAGCAACAUCAGCAGCCUCAGCAACUGCAGCAACGAGAAGGGCCCGAGGGGUGUAACAUCUUCAUCUAUCACCUGCCUCAGGAGUUCUCUGACUCUGAGAUGCUGCAAAUGUUCGUCCCCUUCGGCAACGUCAUCUCAGCGAAGGUCUUUGUUGACCGCGCCACCAAUCAGAGCAAGUGCUUUGGUUUUGUGAGUUUUGACAACCCGUCCAGUGCUCAGACGGCAAUUCAGGCCAUGAAUGGUUUCCAGAUUGGCAUGAAGAGGCUCAAGGUGCAGCUCAAGAGGCCCAAGGAUGCCAACCGACCCUACUAAAUGAGCAAGGGAGAUGAGAAGACUGUCCUGUCCAUACAUAUAUCGUGGAGACUACGUCGCUAUGGUUGCCUAGCAACCGCUAAAAACCCCUUCCUCUCACAGCGUUGGAAGAUAUAAGAGUUCUAUCAAGAAACUGCUUGGGACGUUCCAGCCUUUUGGUUGUUUCGCCAACCGUAUAGCACAGGAGCAACAACACUUCUCAGAAAAUAUGAUAAAUAUAUGUAUCUGCAACAAUAACAAAAAAUCUGUAACAACAAAAUAACAAACGUGUGGUGGGUGGUUGAGUACACAUACCAUUCCACAGCUGGAUUCAGUCAUAUUAUGUACAUACUGUAUUGUCAGCUACAAGGUCUACAUGAAAAAGCAUAUCACUUAUUCUAAUGAACAGGGUUUUACUGUAUAGUGUGGUUUGUGGUCCAUAACGUAAGGGGGAAGGGCAAUGUAUGGGGUUGAAGAAGUGGGACGGUAACCUUAUCGGGGGGGGGAAAUAAUAUUCUGUAUGAUUACCAUUGGUCGAAUUAGUAUGUAGAUUUAGUUUAUUAUUUAAAAGUAAAUGAAAGAAGGGGUUUCUAUCCUUGCAACAGGAAGAAAAUCAACUUCUUCUCACUGUACAUAUCUUUGUUUUAAAUGGAGUCAAAUAAUGAAAAUGUGUUAUUAUAACCACUACUACUGGUAUUGGCAUAAUGGUUGGAGGGAGGGUAAUUGGGUGGAAUUUUUGUAUCUACAUUUUUUACAUUUAAUUUAUUUGUUAAUGGCGAUUUGUUUUAUUUUAUUUUAGAAAAUAGAAGAUUCCUGUGGUCUACAAGACUAUGGGUAAACUUAUUGUAGAAUGUUUAAUUACAUAAAUGUAAUUAUCAAAAAAUCAUUGUUUAAUUAUUUAUUCCCUACAAUUGCUGUUUUAAAACAUGUCUUUAAGAAAAAUAAAGUAAAAUUUAGAAAAG